CUGGAAGCUUUGAAUUUCUAAAUCCUAAAUAUUUUCAGUAUUCCAGAAACCUAAAUAUAUUCUCUACUAUAAUCAGUUUUGGAAUUCUGACAACUUUGGUUACAGAUUUGGAAAAAGUCCUUUUAUUGUUAACAAUUGUUCAGUAAAUAAUUGUUUCAUAACUAACAAUAGGUUGUUACUGCCAGCUAUCGAAGAUUUUGAUAUGAUAAUAUUUCACACUGGUGGUGUAGAGGUUCUAAAAAAAAGAAAUCCAAAACAGUUUUACGUAUUCUUCAGUCUUGAGUGCCCCAUUCAUGCGGCAAUUAACGGAUAUGAAGAAAGGUAUAGGUCAUUUUUUAAUUUAACAAUGACUUACUGACAAGAUUCUGAUAUUUUUUCCCGUAUGGGGAAAUGAAAUCUGGUGGAAAAAGAUCUGUUAAGAAAGCAACUAGUUCAAGAAGUAAAGAUGACAGAAAGCUAGUUGCAUGGGUUGUAUCUCAUUGUAAGACACAAUCUCAACGAGAAAAAUAUGUUGAUGAUCUGAUUCGGUGAUGAUCUGGGAAAGUGGAAAAGAUAGUAUAAAUUAAAAAAGUAGAUUUAUAUAUUUUGAGAAUUUAGAUUUCAAAUUAUGUGGUCGAAAAGUUAGGAAACCUAAAAUCAGGAUAUUUUUGGAUGCAUUUUUCUCGUUUUAGGGGAUUUUCAAUCAUACGCAUUUGAAAAUAAAAAAAAACUAUAAUCAGUGUGAGCUCAAUAGCUCAAAAUAGGGAUACAUUCUCAGUUCUCAUACAAACCCUGAGCUAAACUUAGAUGGGAUAGUUCCAUUGGACCGGGAGCUAAGCUCAGAUUCCAAGAUGUCCGGCCUAAAAACAGGACAAUGUAUUAGCUUUUUGUAUAUAGCUAUAGGUCGGACAGAAAGUGGGGCGGAUGAUAAGUUGCCAACAUGGAGAAAUAUUUGUCGUUAGAAAACAUGCUUUGAAAGCAUCUUUGAAUGCGUUGAAAA
Molecule: unclassified non-coding RNA, 979 nt
Filed under: Eurytemora carolleeae
Lineage: Eukaryota; Metazoa; Arthropoda; Copepoda; Calanoida; Temoridae
Description: alpha-(1,3)-fucosyltransferase C
Source: RNAcentral